RNAcentral lists this ribosomal RNA (347 nucleotides) under uncultured eukaryote. RNAcentral's name for it is "SSU rRNA". It matches the Rfam family "Eukaryotic small subunit ribosomal RNA", at positions 594 to 945 of the family's 1831-position model. The record is from RNAcentral.
AUAGCGUAUAUUAAAGUUGUUGCAGUUAAAAAGCUCGUAGUUGAAUUUCGGGGUCAGUAGGUCGGUCGUUCCACUGGUAUGAACUGGUUUUACUGAUUCCUCCCUCUUGAAGAACUGUAAUGCCAUUAAUUUGGUGUUGCAGGGAAUCAGGACUGUUACUUUGAAAAAAUUAGAGUGUUUAAAGCAGGCUUUAGCUUGAAUACAUUAGCAUGGAAUAAUGAAAUAGGACGUUUGAUCCUAUUUUGUUGGUUUCUAGGAUUGACGUAAUGAUUAAUAGGGAUAGUUGGGGGCAUUAGUAUUCAAUUGUCAGAGGUGAAAUUCUUGGAUUUAUUGAAGACUAACUACUG